This 74-nucleotide transfer RNA is filed under the name Candidatus Kerfeldbacteria bacterium CG_4_10_14_0_8_um_filter_42_10. RNAcentral describes it as "tRNA-Gly". It matches the Rfam family "tRNA". From Rfam's summary of the family: Transfer RNA (tRNA) molecules are approximately 80 nucleotides in length. The record is from RNAcentral. Lineage: Bacteria; Candidatus Kerfeldiibacteriota.
GCGAGUGUAGUACAAUGGCAGUAUACAUCCUUCCCAAGGAUGAGACGCGGGUCCGAUUCCCGUCACUCGCUCCA